Molecule: ribosomal RNA, 617 nt
Filed under: Parasaissetia nigra
Lineage: Eukaryota; Metazoa; Arthropoda; Insecta; Hemiptera; Coccidae
Description: eukaryotic LSU rRNA
Rfam family: Eukaryotic large subunit ribosomal RNA (bases 275-617)
Source: RNAcentral
UUUCCGCCGCCGACCCUCAACCGAGGGUGUCGGACGUCGCGACCCGUUCGCCCAGGUCGAUACUCAGGGACGCGUUUCAAGUUCGCCGGCGCGGUCGUCUCGGCGGCCGCGUCACGAUGGCGCGUUUCCGCUGUUCUCGACGCGGACGGUAGCUUUGCGCGCGGGUAAUCGACGCGGUCCUUUGUCCGGCGUCUCCGUACGUCGGACGGCGCUCGCGUCGACGCCGGUCAGCGACGAAUCUUCGGGCCUCUUUCCGACCCGUCUUGAAACACGGACCAAGGAGUCUAGCGUGCGCGCGAGUCGCGGGGUAUCCGAGUCGUCGUAGUCGUUUCGGCGGCGAACGCGACUCGUCACGAUACGAAACCCGUGUACGUACGUUGUGCGAAGGCGUAAUGAAAGUGAAAGGCGACGCUUCGCGCGUCGCCGGGGGAAGACGGUGUUCCGUGUACCACGUUUCGCGGUCAUACGUGUACCGCGGCCGGACACCCGCAUUCCCAGGGCGUCCCGCUCGUACGUCGGCCGUCGGGUCUCGGCUCGGCGGUCGGCGAACUGGGGCGCACCUACAGCGUGCACGCUGGUACCCGAAAGAUGGUGAACUAUGCCCGGCCAGGAUGAAG